Molecule: ribosomal RNA, 460 nt
Filed under: uncultured bacterium
Lineage: Bacteria
Description: partial 16S ribosomal RNA
Rfam family: Bacterial small subunit ribosomal RNA
Source: RNAcentral
CCUACGGGAGGCAGCAGUGAGGAAUAUUGGUCAAUGGCCGGAAGGCUGAACCAGCCAUGCCGCGUGAAGGUCAGUGCCCUAUGGGCGUUAAACUUCUUUUGUGCGGGAGCAAUAAUGGUCACGUGUGGCCAGACGAGAGUACCGUACGAAUAAGCAUCGGCUAACUCCGUGCCAGCAGGCGCGGUAAUCCGGGGGUUGCAAGCGUUAUCCGGAUUUAUUGGGUUUAAAGGGUGCGUAGGCUGUGAGGUAAGUCAGCGGUGAAAUGCCCCCGCUCAACGGGGUGAAGUGCCAUUGAUACUGCCUUGCUGGAAUGCGGAUGCCGUGGGAGGAAUGUGUGGUGUAGCGGUGAAAUGCAUAGAUAUCACACAGAACACCGAUUGCGAAGGCAUCUCACGAAUCCGCGAUUGACGCUGAUGCACGAAAGCGUGGGUAUCAAACAGGAUUAGAUACCCUGGUAGUC